This 427-nucleotide ribosomal RNA is filed under the name uncultured beta proteobacterium. RNAcentral's name for it is "bacterial SSU rRNA". It matches the Rfam family "Bacterial small subunit ribosomal RNA", at positions 355 to 774 of the family's 1533-position model. Lineage: Bacteria; Pseudomonadati; Pseudomonadota; Betaproteobacteria. The record is from RNAcentral.
UGGGGAAUUUUGGACAAUGGGCGAAAGCCUGAUCCAGCCAUGCCGCGUGAGUGAAGAAGGCCUUCGGGUUGUAAAGCUCUUUUAGUCGGAAAGAAAGAGUUGCAAUGAAUAAUUGUGAUUUAUGACGGUACCGACAGAAAAAGCACCGGCUAACUACGUGCCAGCAGCCGCGGUAAUACGUAGGGUGCGAGCGUUAAUCGGAAUUACUGGGCGUAAAGGGUGCGCAGGCGGUCUUGCAAGUCAGAUGUGAAAGCCCCGGGCUUAACCUGGGAAUUGCGUUUGAAACUACAAGGCUAUAGUGCAGCAGAGGGGAGUGGAAUUCCAUGUGUAGCAGUGAAAUGCGUAGAGAUGUGGAAGAACACCGAUGGCGAAGGCAGCUCCCUGGGUUGACACUGACGCUCAUGCACGAAAGCGUGGGGAGCAAACA